Long non-coding RNA from Orcinus orca (killer whale), 2608 nucleotides. RefSeq lists it as uncharacterized. The record is from RefSeq and is a predicted model, not a curated record. The transcript has 3 exons. NCBI's taxonomy places the organism in Eukaryota, Metazoa, Chordata, Mammalia, Artiodactyla, Delphinidae.
UAACUGCUGGCAAAAUAAAACAAAGAAAAUAAAAACCCAAACAUUUAAGAAAAGCUGAGACAUUUUCUUUUUAAUUUAGGCUUCAUUCAGUGUAAGCCAGGAAGAUGCUUAUGUGAAAUGGGCUUUCUUCCACAAUGUGUCUUACCUGCUGGCUGUAAAUAAGUGAAUUCCUAAAAUCAUGCCAGUCAGCCAUCUUGGUAUGAGCUUUGUUUUUCUACUCUCAUUGUAGAAUCUGAGAAUACUAGAGCUGGAUUCUAGUAAGUCUUGUGUAUUAUGUCUGGUCAUCAUCUCAUUUUUUGACCAUUUGAUUUUUUUUUUCAGGUGACUUUUUUUUCCUGGCUGAAGCAGAAGGAAUAUCGCCAACUUAUCCUGACUUCAGAUUGUUUAUAGUCCUGGCUGCUGGAAAAAAAAAUCACCCUCAGAUGUGUGCGUUGCCUUUGGAGAAAGCUAGGAAGGGUAAAAAGGGCUUUUUUUUUUUUUUUUUUUGGCAUUUAUAUAUUCUUUAAACUGUUUUUAUUUGUUAUUACCUUAUUUAUGUUGUUUGUUUUUAAAGUGGCAUAUCUUUUAUCGGUCACUCUUCCUGGGGAAAUUUAAACUACAGUGAAGUAAUAUUUGGUAGCUUUACAUAGCCAAGGAAUUAGUCUGGACAAUGAAUAAGCCAGGUGACAGCCCAUUUGACUAAAGACCAGAGGGACACACUCACAGUCACAGGGUUUGCCUUUGGGAAAUCAGCUUCCAAGGCAAACCCAGGCCCAGGAGACAGGCGCCUUUCCCAAGGCCUCGACUGAUGCAGAAUCCGGACCAGGUAAUGGAUGUCAUGGAUGCAUUUGUAUUAGAAAAUCUCCACCUAACAUCUUGUGAUGUAGAUCUGCAUCCUUUUCAUCACGGAAGACAUCAUUCUGUGAGAACAGGAACAGAAAGUAAAGAGAAUGAAGUGGGACAGGAGACAGACUCCCUGAGGUGCUUUGAAAACUCCAGAGUAUAUAAGAGCGUCGGAUGAAUCCAAGUUAAAGUGCAUUAAUAAAUACUGCUUCCCUCAAACUUGCAACAUUGGUGUAAUCAUUAUUCCCAUAUCAUAGACAAAGAAGUUACUUGACUAUUGAAACCCCCCUAGUCGGGGCAGAGCUGGGGCCCGAGCCCAGGCAUCCUAAGACCUCCUGCUGUCCCAGCUGUCUCCCUUUUGGCAUCCAGAGCACAUCGUCUGGAGAAUGCUUUUAAUUAUCACCUCGCCCAGAGUGCGAAGAUUUACCGGUAUGCUUUCCUCCGGCCCCAUCUUAAGCACCCCUUUGGGAAAUAGAGUGAUCACGAUAGGAAUCAGGGUAUUUUCAUGUGUGGAAGGGAAUGGAAUGCAGGCGUCACACACGUUUGUUGCCCCUGAAGGCUCUGAGAAGGGGGCGGGGGGACGUAGACUGUUGAAUAGUUAGUGAGGCAAUCCCAGCGUCCUCAGCACCCUGAGUUUUCGACAAGAACCCAAAGGUUCUUUGGGUUUAUUUCCCACACUGGUGAAUUCAGCCUGGCUGCUGAGUUCCUUCAGUUCAGCCUGUGUUUCCCUGACAUCUGGAGCUGGGCUUCCUGAGUCAAGGCUAGGACAGAAGCAGCUGCACUUCUCCUUUUCUGGGGGGUGUGCACACACGCACAGGCACACACGCGUGCGUGCAUGAGGGCUAUCCCCAUGACCAUCAUGCCAACAUAAGGCUCAAAAGAAAUUGGGGCCACAGAGGAAGGGAAAAUCCCAUUUGUGACAGUAAUUCUUAGUGGUCCCAGAUCACAAGUUGUAAGGUCCGAACAAUGUGCAGAUGGCCAGGGUAUGGGGGAUCUUAGGCAAUGGGGGCUGACCUUGCUUUAACUUCCUCAAGUGUUCCUUCAAGAGAGUGUCCCAAUCUCUGGUGGCAAAGUCUUUCAGGCAGCAGCCUCAUGGCGGGAGAGGGAACUGAUGAACCAAAUGUGCUGAUGCUAACAGGGUUAUUUUAAUCGGAGGAACUGGUUUUGGUGGCAGCAGACAGUCAGUCCACAUCUUCAAAACAAGAGUUCUUAAGCAAAGCAAUUUCCUUCUUCCUUGAAGGCCACUAUUUAUCUACAGGACAGAACUACAGGUUCACUGAAAAUGACCAGAUUCAGCAAAGCGACCAAGACUAUUGACUUGGUGUAAUCUGUCUCCCAUCUCAGAUGUCACCUGAUGGAAGAACAUUACAGUAAAGAACUACAAGGUAACAUUUUGGGGAUAAUUAGUCAUUUCUGGGCAGUACGCUCAAUACCUUACAUACAUUGUCUCUAUCAGGGAGAUGCCAUUAUCACACCAAUCUUCUAGGGAAGAAAGUUGAGCUACAGAGAAAGGUUACUCAGCAAGUGGCAGAGCAAGGAUUUGAACCCAGCGGUCUGACUAGUCACUUCAGCCAUUUAGAAAGUACUACAAGAAUGACCAUUCAUUUCCCUCUCUGGGAGGGAAAACUCACAAAGCCCCUCACCCUGUUUUCUAGAUAUUCCACUCAUUUUCUUUUCCUCAUUAAACUAUAAUGUUCAACGUCUUAUUCAGAGUCAUCUGUACCUGUCUAGAAAAGCAUAUUUGAUUAGUGUUCUCUCCCUAUUGUUGGGAAACUCUUAGUCAUAU